RNAcentral lists this ribosomal RNA (471 nucleotides) under Serratia marcescens. RNAcentral describes it as "bacterial SSU rRNA". It matches the Rfam family "Bacterial small subunit ribosomal RNA", at positions 1 to 467 of the family's 1533-position model. Lineage: Bacteria; Pseudomonadati; Pseudomonadota; Gammaproteobacteria; Enterobacterales; Yersiniaceae. The record is from RNAcentral.
UUAAUUGAAGAGUUUGAUCAUGGCUCAGAUUGAACGCUGGCGGCAGGCUUAACACAUGCAAGUCGAGCGGUAGCACAAGGGAGCUUGCUCCCUGGGUGACGAGCGGCGGACGGGUGAGUAAUGUCUGGGAAACUGCCUGAUGGAGGGGGAUAACUACUGGAAACGGUAGCUAAUACCGCAUAACGUCGCAAGACCAAAGAGGGGGACCUUCGGGCCUCUUGCCAUCAGAUGUGCCCAGAUGGGAUUAGCUAGUAGGUGGGGUAAUGGCUCACCUAGGCGACGAUCCCUAGCUGGUCUGAGAGGAUGACCAGCCACACUGGAACUGAGACACGGUCCAGACUCCUACGGGAGGCAGCAGUGGGGAAUAUUGCACAAUGGGCGCAAGCCUGAUGCAGCCAUGCCGCGUGUGUGAAGAAGGCCUUCGGGUUGUAAAGCACUUUCAGCGAGGAGGAAGGUGGUGAACUUAAUACG